UAAGAGAUUUUUAAUUUGGUGGAAAUUGA
This 29-nucleotide non-coding RNA is filed under the name Mus musculus (house mouse). Lineage: Eukaryota; Metazoa; Chordata; Mammalia; Rodentia; Muridae. The record is from RNAcentral.